AACGAACGCUGGCGGCAGGCCUAACACAUGCAAGUCGAACGCUCCGCAAGGGGAGUGGCGCACGGGUGAGUAACACGUGGGAACCUACCUUCUGGUACGGAACAACCAAGGGAAACUUUGGCUAAGACCGUAUACGACCUCCGGGUGAAAGAUUGAUCGCCGGAAGAGGGGCCCGCGUCCGAUUAGGUAGUUGGUGAGGUAACGGCUCACCAAGCCUUCGAUCGGUAGCUGGUCUGAGAGGAUGACCAGCCACACUGGGACUGAGACACGGCCCAGACUCCUACGGGAGGCAGCAGUGGGGAAUAUUGGACAAUGGGCGCAAGCCUGAUCCAGCCAUGCCGCGUGAGUGAUGAA
Molecule: ribosomal RNA, 354 nt
Filed under: uncultured bacterium
Lineage: Bacteria
Description: bacterial SSU rRNA
Rfam family: Bacterial small subunit ribosomal RNA
Source: RNAcentral